RNAcentral lists this ribosomal RNA (1389 nucleotides) under uncultured bacterium. RNAcentral describes it as "partial 16S ribosomal RNA". It matches the Rfam family "Bacterial small subunit ribosomal RNA". The record is from RNAcentral.
GAAUUCGCCCUUAGAGUUUGAUCCUGGCUCAGGACGAACGCUGGCGGCGUGCCUAACACAUGCAAGUCGAACGGGGAUAGAUUGAAGGUUUACCUGAUAUCUAUUCUAGUGGCGGACGGGUGAGUAACGCGUGAGCAAUCUGCCUUGUACUGGGGGAUAACGUCGAGAAAUCGGCGCUAAUACCGCAUAAUACUAUUAGAUCGCAUGGUCAUAUAGUCAAAACUCCGGUGGUACAAGAUGAGCUCGCGUCCAAUUAGCUAGUUGGUGAGGUAAUGGCCCACCAAGGCGACGAUUGGUAGCCGAACUGAGAGGUUGGUCGGCCGCAUUGGGACUGAGACACGGCCCAGACUCCUACGGGAGGCAGCAGUGGGGAAUAUUGCGCAAUGGGGGAAACCCUGACGCAGCAACGCCGCGUGAAGGAUGAAGGCUUUCGGGUUGUAAACUUCUUUGAUCGGGGACGAAUAAUGACGGUACCCGAGGAACAAGCCACGGCUAACUACGUGCCAGCAGCCGCGGUAAUACGUAGGUGGCGAGCGUUGUCCGGAAUUACUGGGUGUAAAGGGCGUGUAGGCGGGAUGUCAAGUCAGAUGUGAAAUUCCGAGGCUUAACUUCGGGGGUGCAUCUGAAACUGAUAUUCUUGAGUGUCGGAGAGGAAAGUGGAAUUCCCAGUGUAGCGGUGAAAUGCGUAGAGAUUGGGAGGAACACCAGUGGCGAAGGCGGCUUUCUGGACGAUAACUGACGCUGAGGCGCGAAAGCGUGGGUAGCAAACAGGAUUAGAUACCCUGGUAGUCCACGCUGUAAACGAUGAUUACUGGUUGUUUGCGAUACACUGCAAGGGACUGAGCGAAAGCACUAAGUAAUCCACCUGGGGAGUAGGUCGGCAACGAUGAAACUCAAAGGAAUUGACGGGGGCCCGCACAAGCGGAGGAACAUGUGGUUUAAUUCGAUGAUACGCGAGGAACCUUACCUGGGUUUAAAUGGGGAGUGACAGGCUUGGAAACAGGCCCCUCUUCGGACACUCUUCAAGGUGCUGCAUGGUUGUCGUCAGCUCGUGCCGUGAGGUGUCGGGUUAAGUCCCAUAACGAGCGCAACCCCCAUCGAUAAUUACCAGCACGCUACGGUGGGGAGUCUAUCGAGACUGCCGGUGUAAACCGUGAGGAGGGGGGGGAGGACGUCAAAUCAGCACGGCCCUUACAUCCAGGGCUACACACGUGUUACAAUGGCCGGUACAAAGGGCAGCUACACAGCGAUGUGAUGCUAAUCUCCAAAUCCGGUCUCAGUUCGGAUCGAAGUCUGCAACCCGACUUCGUGAAGCUGGAUUCGCUAGUAAUCGCGCAUCAGCCAUGGCGCGGUGAAUACGUUCCCGGGCCUUGUACUCACCGCCCGUCA